UCCAGAUGAGCUUUCUUUGUUGCCAAGAUCCCAGAGAAGAGAUGCCCAUGCCCUACGCUAAGGGAACAUGCAAGCUUCUCAUGGCAAAUGCACUUGGACACACAAACUUCUCGCCCAGUUAAUGAAGCAGGAGCUGCAUGUGACAAGAGAUGGUGACUGAGGAGGAGGUUAAUGAUCCAGCUGCUGUGAUAGCCUCUCAAAGUUGAAGACAUCCCAGAUGGGCCAGAGUUGUCAUCUUGUAUCCUCGCAUAAAGAUCAGGUGAUAAACCCUCUGAUGUAGUGUCUUCCUUACUGCAGAUAAGGUAUCACAGCUUCUUGUGCUGUGAACAUGUUUGACAAGCUGCCCCAGGAUACCUGCUGUGGUUGCUGACCUGCCUUCGUAUUGUUCAAACUGAAUCAGAACCUGUUGGUGAGUCUGACAUACCCAGAAAGUACAAAGCUAUUUUCCUGUCAACAAAAUCUUCAGCCCUUUCCUAACACAACUGAGCAACUAUGUGAGUUUUUUUUUCUAGUUCCCAGGUCAAUCUUCUGUGUCUAAAAGACAUCUUUCUUGCUGAGAAUGAUCAGCACAGUGAAGAUAAGGACCAGAUCCUGAACUAUCAUGGUUGCUUUCUGAUAGGCAGAACUUAAGUUUUUUAGCAUACUGUUUGGUGGUUCUCAUGAGGAAUGAGGGCAUCUCCAUGGUUUCCUGAGAACAGAAUGCUCUGGGAAAAUGUUGGGAUUGUUUCAGAGGGGAAGAGACUAGCACUUGGCAAUAUAUGUUUCUCCACUCUCAAGGAGUGCUCUGCUACAGAAAUUUCCUCCCAGCAAUCCCACAGUAAGUCUGAGGUGGAGCUAGCUCCACUGCCUCUGACUGUAUCUGAUGGGCAGCGGGAAAGUGAGGAAGAAAGAGCAAAGCAAAAUGCCUAAUUGACAAGGCAGAAGUACUUUUGUGGACUGGUGUUCAGGGAAAGGAUGCCUGCUUUGUUGUUUCACCUGUGUUGGACUUCAGAAAUGUCUGCCUGUAGUGUUCAUAGCAUAUUGUUAAAUGGAAAAUAAAUUUCAGAGAACAGUUUCUCUAAAUCUCCAAGUGUACAAACAUAGCUUCUGUAUUGCAAUCUCUAUGAUCUCAGAAAAUGUUUAUAUUUAAUUGAAUUAUUUUAAGUCUUAAUCUUUCUGUUGCAUUUUGCAAGAGGGAAAGUUCAGCAACAUUUUGCAGAAUCAUGCAAGGAAAUACUGGGAUUCAAGAUAACUUUCUCUUUCUUAGAUGCUCUGGGUUUUGGUGUUUUCUUUUCUUGGCAAGGUAUCUACAUUUUGUUGGACAAGCUCAUUUAAUAUAUAUAUAGCCCCAGAAAUUUACUAUUUUUUAAGCAAUCAGGAUACCACAAAGCUUUCAACUGGAAGGUCUUCAUACCAGGAUUAAUAAGUCAUGCUCUAUCUUAGUUCUGACAGUGAGCAGUGAUGAAUCAAAUUACACUGCAAAGAACUGCUUUUAGACCAGUGUAGCCAGUGUCUAAUGUUCACUUGCAAGGGUGCUAAGUUCUAUGUCUUAUAUAGCAUUCAGAGCUGAGCUAUGAAUCCAAAUGCUGUUAUUACUAGUUUAGUUCUGUGUUGGAUGUCUCGCUUCUUUGGGUAGUGCUAACACAAUCCCUUUUUCUUGCACUUCUU
This is a long non-coding RNA of Melopsittacus undulatus (budgerigar), 1647 nucleotides long. RefSeq lists it as uncharacterized. The transcript has 3 exons. The record is from RefSeq and is a predicted model, not a curated record. Lineage: Eukaryota; Metazoa; Chordata; Aves; Psittaciformes; Psittaculidae.